CACAACCAACACUUGUACAACAUAUUUAAAAUGUAGAAAUACAAAAUACCUAUAGCUAAAAUGAAAAUUGGGCAGGCAAGCUUACAAUUUAUGGUUCAGGUUGUCACAACACGGCAAAACUGUUUUGCUACGCAUCUUCUCUUUGUAUAACUGAAGGAGUAGGUGGUACUGUUAUCGCAUUUUGACCUCUUGUAUGAGACUCAUCUUCCACGAAGGGUUGCUGUCUAUCAUGAUUAUGAACUUCAUCUGCAAAUCUGCUGGGGUUUGGGGUUCUGCUUUUUAUAAUUGGAAGUGAAGAGGAGUUGUUUGCAAGAGGAGGACCUGAAGUAUUAUAUAGCCCAUCCUCACGAGGCAAUGGUGACAUACUUUCAUCUAGUUUCCUACAAAAUUUAUCUUCCACGAUGUCAUAGGAAUUUCCGGUCCUUACUUCCUGAGCAAGAGAGCACCAACAGCAGAAAAGCCAUAGUGCACAGUCAGCAACAGAAGGUUUACCACAACAAGUAUUGUAAGGAGGCAAAUUGUAUCUUUUUCUCAUCUGAAUCCUCCAAAAGCCACCGUACAGUAACCCAAACAGACAAAGAAAAAUCCCAGUAACUCCUAAUAUCCCCCUGACAGUAUCGCUGUCAAUAUUAACAGCAGCCAAAUUGAAGAUCCAGAAAGGAGCCAUACAGAACAGAAGAAAAGUUGCAAUAUGAACAUACAUAUUUCCAAACCCAAGUCUCUCCAUAUUCCAACCAAAAACACAAAAACUGCAGAACAAAGAGAGAUAUGCCAAAGAAAUAUCAUCCCAAAAAUCAAG
This 799-nucleotide unclassified non-coding RNA is filed under the name Hevea brasiliensis (rubber tree). The record is from RNAcentral. Lineage: Eukaryota; Viridiplantae; Streptophyta; Magnoliopsida; Malpighiales; Euphorbiaceae.